UGGGGAAUAUUGGACAAUGGGCGAAAGCCUGAUCCAGCCAUGCCGCGUGUGUGAAGAAGGUCUUCGGAUUGUAAAGCCCUUUUGUUGGGAAAGAAAAGCAAUCGAUUAAUACUCGGUUGUUCUGACGGUACCCAAAGAAUAAGCACCGGCUAACUUCGUGCCAGCAGCCGCGGUAAUACGAAGGGUGCAAGCGUUACUCGGAAUUACUGGGCGUAAAGCGUGCGUAGGUGGUUGUUUAAGUCUGUUGUGAAAGCCCUGGGCUCAACCUGGGAAUUGCAGUGGAUACUGGGCAACUAGAGUGUGGUAGAGGGUAGUGGAAUUCCCGGUGUAGCAGUGAAAUGCGUAGAGAUCGGGAGGAACAUCCAUGGCGAAGGCAGCUACCUGGACCAACACUGACACUGAGGCACGAAAGCGUGGGGAGCAAACA
This 427-nucleotide ribosomal RNA is filed under the name uncultured bacterium. RNAcentral describes it as "partial 16S ribosomal RNA". It matches the Rfam family "Bacterial small subunit ribosomal RNA", at positions 355 to 774 of the family's 1533-position model. The record is from RNAcentral.